This 737-nucleotide ribosomal RNA is filed under the name Buttiauxella sp. 110518_136_C_D3. RNAcentral's name for it is "bacterial SSU rRNA". It matches the Rfam family "Bacterial small subunit ribosomal RNA", at positions 19 to 745 of the family's 1533-position model. The record is from RNAcentral. Lineage: Bacteria; Pseudomonadati; Pseudomonadota; Gammaproteobacteria; Enterobacterales; Enterobacteriaceae.
AUGGCUCAGAUUGAACGCUGGCGGCAGGCCUAACACAUGCAAGUCGAGCGGUAACACAGGAGAGCUUGCUCUCUGGGUGACGAGCGGCGGACGGGUGAGUAAUGUCUGGGAAACUGCCCGAUGGAGGGGGAUAACUACUGGAAACGGUAGCUAAUACCGCAUAACGUCUUCGGACCAAAGAGGGGGACCUUCGGGCCUCUUGCCAUCGGAUGUGCCCAGAUGGGAUUAGCUAGUAGGUGGGGUAAUGGCUCACCUAGGCGACGAUCCCUAGCUGGUCUGAGAGGAUGACCAGCCACACUGGAACUGAGACACGGUCCAGACUCCUACGGGAGGCAGCAGUGGGGAAUAUUGCACAAUGGGCGCAAGCCUGAUGCAGCCAUGCCGCGUGUAUGAAGAAGGCCUUCGGGUUGUAAAGUACUUUCAGCGAGGAGGAAGGCGUUGCGGUUAAUAACCGCAGCGAUUGACGUUACUCGCAGAAGAAGCACCGGCUAACUCCGUGCCAGCAGCCGCGGUAAUACGGAGGGUGCAAGCGUUAAUCGGAAUUACUGGGCGUAAAGCGCACGCAGGCGGUCUGUCAAGUCGGAUGUGAAAUCCCCGGGCUCAACCUGGGAACUGCAUUCGAAACUGGCAGGCUAGAGUCUUGUAGAGGGGGGUAGAAUUCCAGGUGUAGCGGUGAAAUGCGUAGAGAUCUGGAGGAAUACCGGUGGCGAAGGCGGCCCCCUGGACAAAGACUGACG